Molecule: long non-coding RNA, 2787 nt
Organism: Canis lupus familiaris (dog)
Lineage: Eukaryota; Metazoa; Chordata; Mammalia; Carnivora; Canidae
Exons: 3
Source: RefSeq, a predicted model, not a curated record
GAUGUGGUUACUCUUUUUCUAUGGGAACACAUCUUCGAAAUAAUAAGGACAGUUAGUGGAAAAAUAAUUCAAUAUAUCAACGUUUGAUAGCCAAAAUUUCUAGGAAUUUAUUAAAUUUGUAAAGGAAAAUGAUUCAUUAGCUUUCACUGCCCAUAAGCAAAUUAUUCACAGUCAUUUUAAUUUCAGGAUUGUGCUUGUCCUGAGCACGACUCUACGACCAUCUUUUUCUAGCACUAUUUUAUGUGUGCACAUAGGUUACAAACUAAAACCACCACUGGCUCAUCAUAAGAAAGAUAAAUAUUUCACAAAGGUUAACAAAUGCCAACGUAUCAUCUGUUGUUUAUAUUCUCUUGAGGCCAAGAUAGUGUCUUUGGAAUAAGAAAGAUCUAGAUGUGAAUCUUGGCUCUGCCACUCCACCAACUGUGUAACUUCAGGUACAUGACUAUUCUGAGUGGUUUUUUUGUGUAUAAAUGGAGGCAAUAUCUAUUUCAUGAAAGAACUCGGCAGAUGGUAUAGUGCUUAACACAAAGUAGGCACCCGAUAAAUAUUGCUACCCUGUAUCUCCAACUAUGAUAGAUAAUUAGGAUAACUCUAUAUGGUUUUGAAAACAAAAUUAUUUUGUAGGACUGGCUGUUCCCGAAAGGUUGCUCACUCAUCAGUCUGGACUCCCCACACCAUUCAGAAUGGGAUUAUAAAAUUAUCAACAGUUGAGACACUCAUACAUGCAAUUUAUUGACUGACUAAGCUUGCUUAGGUUGUGAGCCACUCACCUAAAUAGCCUUGGGUCUUUUUCUGUAGUGCAGUAACUGGGCAGUCUUUAUGAGCUAACAGUAGCUGUUUCAACUGAGCCACCUCAUUGCGUAGCAACGUGACUUCGUUCUGAAGAGAGAGGGGAAAAGAAGAGCAUCAAGAAAAUGCAUCCUCCACCCAUGAGCCCCCAGUAGCUGUUCCCACAGUGAGGACAGAAUGCUGCCUGGAUUUUCUCCCCUGAAUCUGGGAGACGCCUGAUCUCACAAGGCUUCAGACAGCUCAGGGCCAGUAUAGUCAUGAAUUCAGUGACAGGAGCUGCUUACACUGAAAACUGCAUUAUCUGGGGCAAAUACAUUUCCCUUUAGGUGUUCCAUGACCCCAGUCAGAUUCUACUGAUGACCUAAAAGAGUACCCUGGAGCGAUGAAUCUAAUUCCUUCCAUCCAAAUGGGUCUGUGGAUGAUUCAGACUCUAGCAGCAGGUUUGGGAGUAGAUGGUUCAUCAAUCCCAAUAAUCACCCAGGACCCACUCACACUCAGCUGAAUGUUCUGAGAAGUGAGUUCCUCUGCCUUCUUCUCUAGGGAGGACACCCAGAGCUUCCGCUUUUGACGGCAGCGGGAGGCUGCAGCCCGGUUACGCUCCAGAAAACGCUGCCGCCGUUCAUCAGGAUCUUCAUCCACUGUGCGUCGCCUUCUCCCUCCAGUGCUAGGAGUGGGCUGGGCUGGUGAGACCUGGGGUUCAGGAAGAAAAAGGGGUUACCUUAAGGGAACUUUCCAAAUUAAACCUGAUGUCAGUUAGGUUAGUAAGCUCUGUUAAAGAUCUGGUAAAGAUGUACCAGUCUCUGCAACCAGAGCAAGUCUCAUCACUAUGCCCCUGAGUUUCUUUUCUGUCUACCUCCCAUCUCCUUCCAGUCUUCUCAGCCCCAUACUAAGACAAGCUGCAACUCAGGAACUGAUUAUUUCUGAGACAGGUAGGGCAAGAUGAAAUGAGCAUCACUUUUUGUUUCUUAACAAAAGGGAAUCUUGUCAGUGGAGAAAUCAUAAUGAGGGCUGGGUGUCAGGGGAACUUUUAAGGAGACUAGAAUAAAAAUAUUUGAGAUUCACUGAUCUGGAAAACAAUAUACACAAACAACUGAAUGCUACAAGUUUCAGAAAAUGAGAAAAGAUUUUACUACCACUGAAAUACUGGCUAUCACAGAAAUACUCUGCUAUCACAGAGAGAUAUGGAUUAGUACAUCCUUAUUUUUUUUUUUAAUUUUUAUUUAUUUAUGAUAGUCACACAGAGAGAGAGAGAGAGGCAGAGACACAGGCAGAGGAAGAAGCAGGCUCCAUGCACCGGGAGCCCGACGUAGGAUUCGAUCCCAGGUCUCCAGGAUCGCGCCCUGGGCCAAAGGCAGGCGCCAAACCGCUGCGCCACCCAGGGAUCCCUACAUCCUUAUUUAUAUCAGCAAUCACCCUCUCCACCUUGUUUGUUCUGUUGGUUUUUAUUUAUUUGUUUGUUUAUUUUUAAUAUUCUGUUGGUUUUUAAACAAAAAACCAUUUUUAAUCCCUUUAUAAUUGAUGAUAUAAAACUGCCUUUAGUCUUUAAACUUGAGGCUGAUGUUCUCUGUCACUAAAGUACUUCUGGAUCAUCCUCCCUUUCUAUUAGCUGGUAUGUGUUCAGAGAAGACAGACCAACUUUAUAAUAGCAGCCAAACUUAAAAUGCAGAAAGGUCAGUCAUCUGUAUAAAAGAAACUAUAUAAUGUAAAACAAUGCCAAAAAUAAAUUCUUCCUGGAUCUGUUGUUAUCAGAGAAUAUCUGUAUUAGUAGUUUCCAAGUGCCAAAGCUCACAUCAGUUGCAUGAGAAUAAGCAUAAGCUUAUAAAAAACAAUCUUAUACUCUACUUUAGGCCCUACUAAUUUAUGUUCUCCAUUAAUACAGAUAAUCAGGGCAGCCCGGGUGGCUCAGUGGUUUAGCGUUGCCUUCAGCCCGGGGCCUGAUCCUAGAGACCCGGGAUUGAGUUCCACAUCGGGCUCCCUGCCUGGAGCCUGCUUUUCCCU